GCCCUGGUAGUGUAGUGGCUAACAUAGGACCCUGUCGCGGUCCCGCCCCGGGUUCGAUUCCCGGUCAGGGCG
RNAcentral lists this transfer RNA (72 nucleotides) under Candidatus Pacearchaeota archaeon. RNAcentral's name for it is "tRNA-Asp". It matches the Rfam family "tRNA". From Rfam's summary of the family: Transfer RNA (tRNA) molecules are approximately 80 nucleotides in length. Their secondary structure includes four short double-helical elements and three loops (D, anti-codon, and T loops). The record is from RNAcentral. Lineage: Archaea; Nanobdellati.